UUAUGACAGAAUUGGCGGUAUUUAGUCUUUUCAGAGGAACUUGUCCCGUUAUCGACAAUCCACGUUUUACCUUACUUAGUUUAGUUAGAUCAUUAUGUAUACCGUCGUCGUCAGAAUUUUUUUAAUAAAUUUUAAUUUUCUUAGUACUUGCAAAUGGUAGAACGUCAGAUCAAGGUGCAGAUUAUGAUCAAGUGGAGAUGAGUUACAAUAAAUUUUAUUUACACGAAUUUAGCAGUGAUAUAGAUAAUGAGGUGGAUUUGAAAGUAAUUUCUUAUUAGAGAUAAAUAAUGAAUUAAUGGCUCUAAAA
RNAcentral lists this ribosomal RNA (307 nucleotides) under Machilinus sp. CFNDS1. RNAcentral's name for it is "partial 12S ribosomal RNA". Lineage: Eukaryota; Metazoa; Arthropoda; Insecta; Archaeognatha; Meinertellidae. The record is from RNAcentral.